Molecule: ribosomal RNA, 446 nt
Filed under: uncultured bacterium
Lineage: Bacteria
Description: bacterial SSU rRNA
Rfam family: Bacterial small subunit ribosomal RNA
Source: RNAcentral
AACGAACGCUGGCGGCAGGCCUAACACAUGCAAGUCGAACGCCCUAGCAAUAGGGAGUGGCAGACGGGUGAGUAACACGUGGGAACCUUCCCUGUAGUACGGAAUAGCCCAGGGAAACUUGGAGUAAUACCGUAUACGCCCGAAAGGGGAAAGAUUUAUCGCUAUAGGAUGGGCCCGCGUAGGAUUAGCUAGUUGGUGAGGUAAUGGCUCACCAAGGCGACGAUCCUUAGCUGGUUUGAGAGAACGACCAGCCACACUGGGACUGAGACACGGCCCAGACUCCUACGGGAGGCAGCAGUGGGGAAUAUAGGACAAUGGGCGCAAGCCUGAUCCAGCCAUGCCGCGUGAGUGAUGAAGGCCUUAGGGUUGUAAAGCUCUUUUGGCGGGACGAUAAUGACGGUACCCGCAGAAUAAGUCCCGGCUAACUUCGUGCCAGCCGCCGCCGU